AGAGUUUGAUCCUGGCUCAGAACGAACGCUGGCGGCAGGCCUAACACAUGCAAGUCGAGCGCGCCUUCGGGUGAGCGGCGGACGGGUUAGUAACGCGUGGGAACGUGCCCUUCUCUACGGAAUAGCCUCUGGAAACGGAGAGUAAUACCGUAUACGCCCUUUGGGGGAAAGAUUUAUCGGAGAAGGAUCGGCCCGCGUUAGAUUAGGUAGUUGGUGGGGUAACGGCCUACCAAGCCUACGAUCUAUAGCUGGUUUUAGAGGAUGAUCAGCAACACUGGGACUGAGACACGGCCCAGACUCCUACGGGAGGCAGCAGUGGGGAAUCUUAGACAAUGGGGGCAACCCUGAUCUAGCCAUGCCGCGUGAGUGAUGAAGGCCUUAGGGUCGUAAAGCUCUUUCGCCUGUGAUGAUAAUGACAGUAGCAGGUAAAGAAACCCCGGCUAACUCCGUGCCAGCAGCCGCGGUAAUACGGAGGGGGUUAGCGUUGUUCGGAAUUACUGGGCGUAAAGCGCGCGUAGGCGGAUUAGAAAGUUGGGGGUGAAAUCCCGGGGCUCAACCCCGGAACUGCCUCCAAAACUGCUAGUCUAGAGUUCGAGAGAGGUGAGUGGAAUUCCGAGUGUAGAGGUGAAAUUCGUAGAUAUUCGGAGGAACACCCGUGGCGAAGGCGGCUCACUGGUUCGAUACUGACGCUGAGGUGCGAAAGUGUGGGGAGCAAACAGGAUUAGAUACCCUGGUAGUCCACACCGUAAACGAUGAAUGCCAGUCGUCGGGUAGUAUACUAUUCGGUGACACACCUAACGGAUUAAGCAUUCCGCCUGGGGAGUACGGUCGCAAGAUUAAAACUCAAAGGAAUUGACGG
Molecule: ribosomal RNA, 859 nt
Filed under: uncultured marine bacterium
Lineage: Bacteria
Description: bacterial SSU rRNA
Rfam family: Bacterial small subunit ribosomal RNA
Source: RNAcentral